RNAcentral lists this ribosomal RNA (408 nucleotides) under uncultured bacterium. Its description in RNAcentral is "bacterial SSU rRNA". It matches the Rfam family "Bacterial small subunit ribosomal RNA", at positions 985 to 1392 of the family's 1533-position model. The record is from RNAcentral.
CAUCCUUUUGACCGAUGCCUAAUCGCAUCUUUCCCUUCGGGGACAGAAGUGACAGGUGGUGCAUGGUUGUCGUCAGCUCGUGUCGUGAGAUGUUGGGUUAAGUCCCGCAACGAGCGCAACCCUUGCCUUUAGUUGCCAGCAUUAAGUUGGGCACUCUAGAGGGACUGCCAGGGAUAACCUGGAGGAAGGUGGGGAUGACGUCAAAUCAUCAUGCCCCUUAUGCUUAGGGCUACACACGUGCUACAAUGGGUGGUACAGAGGGCAGCCAAGUCGUGAGGCGGAGCUAAUCCCUUAAAGCCAUUCUCAGUUCGGAUUGUAGGCUGAAACUCGCCUACAUGAAGCUGGAGUUACUAGUAAUCGCAGAUCAGAAUGCUGCGGUGAAUACGUUCCCGGGUCUUGUACACACCG